CAAUAGCGUAUAUUAAAGUUGUUGCGGUUAAAAAGCUCGUAGUUGGAUUUCUGCCGAGGACGACCGGUCCGCCCUCUGGGUGAGUAUCUGGCUCGGCCUGGGCAUCUUCUUGGAGAACGUAGCUGCACUUGACUGUGUGGUGCGGUAUCCAGGACUUUUACUUUGAGGAAAUUAGAGUGUUUCAAGCAGGCUUACGCCUUGAAUACAUUAGCAUGGAAUAAUAAGAUAGGACCUCGGUUCUAUUUUGUUGGUUUCUAGAGCUGAGGUAAUGAUUAAUAGGGAUAGUUGGGGGCAUUCGUAUUUAACUUUCAGAGGUGAAAUUCUUGGAUUUGUUAAAGACGGACUACUGCGAAAGCAUUUGCCAAGGAUGUUUUCAUUGA
RNAcentral lists this ribosomal RNA (380 nucleotides) under uncultured eukaryote. RNAcentral's name for it is "partial 18S ribosomal RNA". It matches the Rfam family "Eukaryotic small subunit ribosomal RNA", at positions 592 to 976 of the family's 1831-position model. The record is from RNAcentral.